AUACGUAGGUGACAAGCGUUAUCCGGAUUUACUGGGCGUAAAGGGCGUGUAGGCGGUCUUGCAAGUCAGAAGUGAAAUUCCUGAGCUCAACUCGGGCGCUGCUUCUGAAACUGCAGGACUUGAGUGCUGGAGGGGAUAGCGGAAUUCCUAGUGGAGCGGUAAAAUGCGCAGAUAUUAGGAAGAACACCGGUGGCGAAGGCGGCUAUCUGGACAGUAACGGACGCUGAGGCGCGAAAGCGUGGGGAGCAAACAGGAUUAGAUACCCUGGUAGUCCACACUGUAAACGAUGAAUGCUAGGUGUAGGGGGUAUCGACCCCUUCUGUGCCGCAGUCAACACAAUAAGCAUUCCGCCUGGGGAGUACGGCCGCAAGGUUGAAACUCAAAUGAAUUGACGGGG
RNAcentral lists this ribosomal RNA (397 nucleotides) under uncultured bacterium. Its description in RNAcentral is "partial 16S ribosomal RNA". It matches the Rfam family "Bacterial small subunit ribosomal RNA", at positions 523 to 918 of the family's 1533-position model. The record is from RNAcentral.